GGCCGUGUAGUUCAGUUGGUUAGAACGCUAGCCUGUCACGCUAGAGGUCGACGGUUCGAGCCCGUUCACGGUCGCCA
This 77-nucleotide transfer RNA is filed under the name Intestinimonas butyriciproducens. RNAcentral describes it as "tRNA-Asp". It matches the Rfam family "tRNA". Rfam says of the family: Transfer RNA (tRNA) molecules are approximately 80 nucleotides in length. Their secondary structure includes four short double-helical elements and three loops (D, anti-codon, and T loops). Further hydrogen bonds mediate the characteristic L-shaped molecular structure. tRNAs have two regions of fundamental functional importance: the anti-codon, which is responsible for specific mRNA codon recognition, and the 3' end, to which the tRNAs corresponding amino acid is attached (by aminoacyl-tRNA synthetases). tRNAs cope with the degeneracy of the genetic code in two manners: having more than one tRNA (with a specific anti-codon) for a particular amino acid; and 'wobble' base-pairing, i.e. permitting non-standard base-pairing at the 3rd anti-codon position. RNAcentral also lists the same sequence under 10 other names. Lineage: Bacteria; Bacillati; Bacillota; Clostridia; Eubacteriales. The record is from RNAcentral.